GACAUGCCCUAGCGUGGCUCCAUUUUCACCCGUUGUGCUAAGAAUCUCUCAGUGGUCCUUUCAAUCUGGCAACUUAUUUCCGUCUGUUCUGGAAAACUCUUUGAAUUGUUUCUCUGAUGAUUUCUUUCCUUCCAAUUAUUUGUCUGUUUGGAUAACCUGGCCUCAUCUUCCAAUGAUCUUAUCUUUUCAUUCCUAUUUUUUGUUGCUUUGUGUGUUCUCUCAAUGUUGCCUUCCAACACUCCUAUUGAGUUGUUUGUGGCUGUCAUAUGGUGAUGUCCAAGGGCUGCUUUUUGACAGGGUGCGAGACAUCCUUUUACUUCCCUGCAUGUAUGAACGAUUGUGUGUGGAGAUGUGCUUUGUGACAGAGGGACCUAUCGAACCACAGGGCUAGAUGGCUGGCUCCACAUCUGCUCAGGAUAUGUACUAUUGUUGCUUAGAAUAACAAAGACCCACCAAAUACUUAGGACUAAUUAUUCUCGUGGAGCAUCCAAAAUUUUGAACAGGGAGCCAAAAC
RNAcentral lists this long non-coding RNA (514 nucleotides) under Equus caballus (horse). RNAcentral's name for it is "lncRNA (ENSECAG00000059155.1)". Lineage: Eukaryota; Metazoa; Chordata; Mammalia; Perissodactyla; Equidae. The record is from RNAcentral.